CGGGGUGCAGCAGGCGCGAAAACUUUGCAAUACACGAAAGUGUGACAGGGCUAUCCCGAGUGCCAUCCGCUGAGGAAGGCUUUUACCCAGUCUAGAAAGCUGGGGGAAUAAGGAGAGGGCAGGUCUGGUGUCAGCCGCCGCGGUAAUACCAGCUCUCCGAGGGGUGUGGAUGUUUAUUGGGCCUAAAGCAUCCGUAGCUGGCUAAGUUAGUCCCUUGUUAAAUCCACCGAAUUAAUCGUUGGAUUGCGGGGGAUACUGCUUGGCUAGGGGACGAGAGAGGCAGACGGUAUUUCCGGGGUAGGGGUGAAAUCCUAUAAUCCCGGGAAGACCACCAGUGGCGAAGGCUGUCUGCUAGAACGCGCCCGACGGUGAGGGAUGAAAGCUGGGGGAGCGAGCCGGAUUAGAUACCCGGGUAGUCCCAGCUGUAAACGAUGCAGGCUAGGUGUUUGGGCGGCCACGUGCCGCUCUAGUGCCGCAGGGAAGCUGUUAAGCCUGCCGCCUGGGGAGUACGGUCGCAAGAUUGAAACUUAAAGGAAUUGGCGGGGGAGCAC
RNAcentral lists this ribosomal RNA (551 nucleotides) under uncultured archaeon. RNAcentral describes it as "bacterial SSU rRNA". It matches the Rfam family "Archaeal small subunit ribosomal RNA", at positions 326 to 879 of the family's 1478-position model. The record is from RNAcentral.